Molecule: transfer RNA, 78 nt
Filed under: Rhodospirillaceae bacterium
Lineage: Bacteria; Pseudomonadati; Pseudomonadota; Alphaproteobacteria; Rhodospirillales; Rhodospirillaceae
Description: tRNA-Val
Source: RNAcentral
GUGACGUAUUGUCUCUUUAGGGAGAGCACUACGUUGACAUCGUAGGGGUCACUGGUUCAAUCCCAGUCGUGCCCACCA